UGUGAGAGCGAAACUGAAGAGGAA
Molecule: non-coding RNA, 24 nt
Filed under: Drosophila erecta
Lineage: Eukaryota; Metazoa; Arthropoda; Insecta; Diptera; Drosophilidae
Also listed under: 2 other names
Source: RNAcentral